AUUUGAACGCUAAGAAGGAUUAUUAGAAGGACGAGAUUUGUCAGAGAGCGUGUGGCUGGUGUGAACAUGCAAAUUUAGUACUUCGAACUCGCCUUUGAGUUUCUUGCUGAACAUGGAGAGGUAGGCAAGGACGGUAUCUCCCGUUACGAGAAAAAGCGUCAGCAAUUGCUGGAACAUAGGUGGUACCGCGAUUUAUUCGUCCUAUAU
This 207-nucleotide non-coding RNA is filed under the name Ligilactobacillus ruminis. RNAcentral describes it as "Lactobacillus ruminis T-box sequence". It matches the Rfam family "T-box leader". From Rfam's summary of the family: Uncharged tRNA acts as the effector for transcription antitermination of genes in the T-box leader family. T-boxes are found upstream of many aminoacyl-tRNA synthetase genes and some amino acid biosynthetic genes usually in Gram-positive bacteria. Lineage: Bacteria; Bacillati; Bacillota; Bacilli; Lactobacillales; Lactobacillaceae. The record is from RNAcentral.